GGGGUUGUAGCUCAGUCGGCUAGAGCGCAGCAUUCACAUUGCUGAGGUCGGGGGUUCAAGUCCCUCCAGCCCCACCA
Molecule: transfer RNA, 77 nt
Filed under: Candidatus Saccharibacteria bacterium RIFCSPHIGHO2_01_FULL_49_21
Lineage: Bacteria; Candidatus Saccharimonadota
Also listed under: 2 other names
Description: tRNA-Val
Rfam family: tRNA
About the family: Transfer RNA (tRNA) molecules are approximately 80 nucleotides in length. Their secondary structure includes four short double-helical elements and three loops (D, anti-codon, and T loops).
Source: RNAcentral